Molecule: ribosomal RNA, 540 nt
Filed under: uncultured bacterium
Lineage: Bacteria
Description: bacterial SSU rRNA
Rfam family: Bacterial small subunit ribosomal RNA
Source: RNAcentral
UAGGGAAUAUUGGUCAAUGGGUGAGAGCCUGAACCAGCCAUGCCGCGUGCAGGAAGAAGGCCUUCUGGGUUGUAAACUGCUUUUGCCAGGGGAUAAAAAUACCUUGCGAGGUAAAUUGAAGGUACCUGGUGAAUAAGCCACGGCUAACUACGUGCCAGCAGCCGCGGUAAUACGUAGGUGGCAAGCGUUGUCCGGAUUUAUUGGGUUUAAAGGGUGCGUAGGCGGCCCUGUAAGUCAGUGCUGAAAUAUCCCGGCUUAACCGGGAGGGUGGCAUUGAUACUGCGGGGCUAGAGUACAGAUGAGGUAGGCGGAAUUGACGGUGUAGCGGUGAAAUGCUUAGACAUCGUCAAGAACACCUAUAGCGAAGGCAGCUUACUAGGCUGUAACUGACGCUGAGGCACGAAAGUGUGGGGAUCAAACAGGAUUAGAUACCCUGGUAGUCCACACUGUAAACGUUGAUUACUCGCUGUGUGCGAUAUACAGUACGCGGCCAAGCGAAAGCGCUAAGUAAUCCACCCGGGGAGUACGCCGGCAACGGUG